UACAGGGGGAUAACACUUAGAAAUAGGUGCUAAUACCGCAUAAGCGCACGGUUCCGCAUGGAACAGUGUGAAAAACUCCGGUGGUAUACGAUGGAUCCGCGUCUGAUUAGCCAGUUGGCGGGGUAACGGCCCACCAAAGCGACGAUCAGUAGCCGGCCUGAGAGGGUGAACGGCCACAUUGGGACUGAGACACGGCCCAAACUCCUACGGGAGGCGGCAGUGGGGAAUAUUGCACAAUGGGGGAAACCCUGAUGCAGCGACGCCGCGUGAGUGAAGAAGUAUUUCGGUACGUAAAGCUCUAUCAGCAGGGAAGAAAGAAAGUCCUUUGGACUUUGGACGGUACCUGACCUAGAAGCCCCGGCUAACUACGUGCCAGCAGCCGCGGUAAUACGUAGGGGGCAAGCGUUAUCCGGAUUUACUGGGUGUAAAGGGAGCGUAGACGGCAGCGCAAGUCUGGAGUGAAAUGCCGGGGCCCAACCCCGGAACUGCUUUGGAAACUGUGCAGCUCGAGUGCAGGAGAGGUAAGCGGAAUUCCUAGUGUAGCGGUGAAAUGCGUAGAUAUUAGGAGGAACACCAGUGGCGAAGGCGGCUUACUGGACUGUAACUGACGUUGAGGCUCGAAAGCGUGGGGAGCUAACAGGAUUAGAUACCCUGGUAGUCCACGCCGUAAACGAUGAUUACUAGGUGUCGGGGGGCCAAGGCCCUCCGGUGCCGCCG
RNAcentral lists this ribosomal RNA (717 nucleotides) under uncultured bacterium. RNAcentral describes it as "bacterial SSU rRNA". It matches the Rfam family "Bacterial small subunit ribosomal RNA", at positions 134 to 851 of the family's 1533-position model. The record is from RNAcentral.